Molecule: ribosomal RNA, 376 nt
Filed under: uncultured eukaryote
Lineage: Eukaryota
Description: SSU rRNA
Rfam family: Eukaryotic small subunit ribosomal RNA
Source: RNAcentral
AGCUACAAUAUCGUAUAUUAAAAUUGUUGCAGUUAAAAAGCUAGUAGUUGGAUUUCUGGCUGGGCAUGUGGGUCCGCUUUUACGAGUGUGAAUCAUAUAUGUCUGGCCAUCCUUUUGGAGAGCCAUAGUGGCAUUAAGUUGUUGGUAUGGGGAUCCCAAUCAUUUACUGUGAAGAAAUUAGAGUGUGCAAAGCAGGCUUACACCGUUUAAUAUAUUAGCAUGAAAUAAUACCAUAGGACUAGAUUACUAUUUUGUUGGUUGGCGCACAAUAGUAAUGAUUAACAAGGACAGUUAGGGGUAUUGGUAUUCCAUUGUCAGAUGUGAUUUUUUUUUGAAAGACAAACUACUGCAAAAGCAUUUACCAAAGAUCUUUUCA